GGUACGUAGCAUAACUGGUAAUGCGUUCGGCUUUUAAUCGAGGGAGUGUGGGUCGAUUCCCAUGGUGCCA
This 70-nucleotide transfer RNA is filed under the name Didymium nigripes. RNAcentral's name for it is "tRNA-Lys". It matches the Rfam family "tRNA". From Rfam's summary of the family: Transfer RNA (tRNA) molecules are approximately 80 nucleotides in length. Their secondary structure includes four short double-helical elements and three loops (D, anti-codon, and T loops). The record is from RNAcentral. Lineage: Eukaryota; Evosea; Eumycetozoa; Physariida; Didymiaceae.